This 32499-nucleotide long non-coding RNA is filed under the name Ananas comosus (pineapple). RNAcentral's name for it is "long non-coding RNA (ACOM_LNC002020)". Lineage: Eukaryota; Viridiplantae; Streptophyta; Magnoliopsida; Poales; Bromeliaceae. The record is from RNAcentral.
UUUCUGUUGAUUUAUAGCUUAGUCGGUUUACAUGGUUCAGUUUUGUGUUAUUAUCUGAAUAUCUGAGUUUUCAUUUGGUUUUGGAAUGUAAUAAAGGAUUUGUGUUUUCUUGAAAUAAAAAUGGUUUUCUACCCCUCGUGGUAGCGUUUUAAAAAGAUAAAAGUUUCCGUGUAGGGAACAGUUUUCAAAGGGUUUUCUGUGAUUUUGUAUCUUAGUAUUUCAAAACCUGUUUCUGUGGUUGGAAAUAUUUUAACUGAUAGAUGUGAAUUUAUGUUUAAAUAUUGAAUGAAAAAAUGUGAAUCUGUGGUGAAUGGUGUAUGAAUAUAUAACUGUGGUUAUUUGUAUGUUCAUCUGGUUGUGGUUGUAUCAUGUUUGAACUCUUGUACUUGUGCGACGCCGUGCAAAUACAGGGGAGAUUCUGUUCGUGUGAACAGUGGAUCUUCUGUAUUUGUGGUGGAUCUGGCAUACCCUGGGGUCAGGUUUUAAAAAAAAAAAAAAUUCAGACGCUUUUCCGCUAUACUUUAAACUAAAAAGGGACCCCGGGGCGUGACACGGCACCAGCACCAGUACCACAGGAUUCACAUCGAGCAGCUGAUAUUGUUUAUUAUAGGCGCCGACGGCAUAUGCAGUCUAUCCGUACAGAUCAACCCUCAUCUUCAGCUCCUCCACGGCCAGACAUACUACCGACAGCUGCUAUUGCUGUGAUUGAGCCGGUUAUUGAGGGUAUUGCUAUCGAGCAUCUGGACCAGUUGGAGAUCUUAGAGCCUUUUGAUGAGCAUGGUGUUGAUCGUGGUCGCGGACGUGGUAGGCGACGUGGUCGCGUGAGUAGGAGGAGAACACGAUAUUAUAUUUCUAUAUUAUUGUAAAACUUGGUUUAAUUUGGAUAUUCUGUUGUGAUUAUCUGGUAUUGAUAUUUUAUUGAGAUUCUAUUGGUAGUGAUGUGUAUAUUGUACUGUUGUGUUGUGAUGCUGUGAUGUUGUAUUGUACUGUUGCGUUUAGGUAUCUGUAUUGUAUUAUUGUAUUGUGAUAUUGCGAUGUGUAUUGAUUUGAUUUUUUGCGCCAAAAAAAUGGCUAAGUUAGGAUAGUUCUAUUCGACACGGUGAACCAUUCACUGUGUCCAAUACAAAUAACCGGGACUUAGCCGUUUUUGGCUUACUUCCGGGUAUUUGUAUUAGACACGGUGAAUAGUUCACCGUCUCUAAACACGGUGAUCUGUUCACCGUAUUUAGACACGAUGAACCAAUAACUGUGUCCAAUGUAUUAUUCACACCCUGACUUCGGUGUGUAUAAUACAUUGGACACGGUGAAUCAUUCACCGUGUUUAAACACAGUGAACGGUUUACCAUGUUCAACUUAAACAUCUGGCCCCAGCCACGCCCGCGUGGCGCUGACAUGACACUUGCAUUGCAGGGUCAAGACCAUUUUUAUAAAUAAAUUUUUGACAGGACUAAUGUUUUUUAAAAAAUUUGUCACGUGGUUAUUUGUAAAAAAAAAAAAAAAAAAGCCCGAGCAGAAAGGAGUUGUCCUUUUGCGUAGAAAAAAAAAGCCCGAGCACAAAGGAGUGAUGUCCUUCUGCGUAGAAAUUAGUCGCUGCACCUGAUGUAACCUCUACUUGCUCCACACGACUACACCGGAUAAAAAGUAUAUGGAUGUAAUAAUUAAAUAUAUUUCUAAUCGCACUAAGUGAUACUUACUUUUCACAAUCCUCAGUGGAGUAUUAGGUAAAAAAAAAUUUAUCAAAUGUGUGAAAAUAUUAUUUUUCUAUCGGUAAAAAUAUAUAAAAUUUAUUUUAGCCGUAGAUUAUCUCAAGCCGAGUAUCUGACUCUUCAAAUUAAGAUUUAAUUUUAGGGAUAAUUGCCUAUAUACCCCUCAUACGCUCAGAUAUAUCCGAUCUACCUCUGUUUUUUUUUCUUUCUAAAAUGCCCCUCAUAUGUUCCACCGUUAUUCUAAAAUACCCCUGCAGUUAUCCUCUGUUAGCUUAACUCGGGUUAAACAUGGGUUAAAUGUAUACUAGAGUUAAAAUCUAAAUAAAAUACCUAUUUUGCCCCUACCAUAUUAUACUAAUUCCUUAAGUUAUCCUCCUCAUCCUCUUCGUCAUUCUCCUUCUCCCUCCUCCUCCUAUCGUCGUCCCCCGCCCCGCCCUCGACUCCCUCCUGUCCCUCCGCGAUGUCGUCCUCUCCGAGCGCUUCUGCUGGGGCGACCACCUCCGCCCCUUGGUCCCCUCCCCGCGCGCCUCUGCCGCCGCCAACUUCUCCGCCCUUUCGAAGCGCAAGCUCCGUGCCCUCCAGGAGCUCCUCCAUUCCAGGACCAGCUCCUCCACGAGCUCCUCCUCCGCCGCUCUCGUCGUCAUCGUCCUCCUCCUCCGCCGUCUUGGCCGGCGCCGGGAGCAAGAGGGCUGCAACGACGAUCCCAUCUCGCCCGAGGCCAUCUGCGUGCCGGAAGCAAGAGGGCACGGUGUUGCGCGCGGAGGGGAGAAGCGUGUGCGCGGUCCACGGUGGACCUCCCUCUUAUUAUAUAUAUAAAUAAAUAUAUAAAUAUAUGUAUAUAUAUAAUUUUAUUUAUAAAUAUAUAUAUUUAUAUAGUAUUUUAUUUAUAUAAUAGAAAUAUUAUUAUAUAAUAUUUUAUUUAUAAUUUUUUAAUUAUUUAUUGAUAUUUUUAAAUAUAUAACUCUUAUAUAUUAUUAAUAUAUAUUUAUUAUAAUUUUAAAUAUAUUUAAUCUAUAUAUAAAAAUUAUAAUAAUAAUAUAUAUAGUAUAUUAAUUAUUAUAUAUUUAUUACAUAGUUGAAUUUUUUAUUCCGAAAUUUUAAUUGGUGAACGUAUAAUAUCCGUAUAAAUCACGUAUCUGAAUAAUUGCCGAAUUCGUUUUUUAGCCGUAUUUUUCAACUAAUUUAAAAAUUAAAAGACGAAUUAUAUAUGUACCGAAUUUUUACCGAGUCCGAAUUAACUAACAUUACCUCUAGCCACCAAGUUUGGUUUAGCUGCGAUCGAUCUCAUCUGUUCAUCUGCUCGCUUCUGACGUGCUUUAUUAAUUAAUUGAUAUUUGAAGGGCAAAUUAGAAAAGUAUUUGCUAUAUGAAGGGUAUAUAAGAAAAGUUAGUUACGGUACAAGGGUAUAUUGGAAUGAGCAAAAUGGUAAUUUUCCAGAGAUAACGGCAGCUCACUGACGGAACUUAACUACAGGGGUAUAUUAGAAAGACUUGGAACAUAAGAAGGGUAUUUUCAAUAUUAGCCUUCUAAGAGGGGUAAAUAAAAAAAAACAGAAACUUUUCAGGGAUAUAUAGGCAAUUGUCCCUUAAUUUUACUAUAUAAUUUCUUAAUUUAUGUGAUUUGAGUCUGUAAACAAAUUUUUGGACUUUUAAAUUUACAUCUAUUAUUUAUUUUUAUAUAAUUUAAUUAGUAUAUUUUAUAUAGAAAUCGCUGAUUCAAUUAAAUUAAUGAUUCAUCUGCUAAUUGAACCGAUAACUCUUGAACUGUGUAAGCGAACCCGUGGCUUGGUUUUUCAGAACAUUGAGAUAUACGUGUUAGCAGGUAGGUUGGGUGGGCCACCACUGCAGCAGUCUCAUGAUCUCAUCCGCAUCUCACACACGCACACACCACUCACACCACUCACACACUCGAUCGGUCGAUCUCUCAUUUCAGUUUCAGGGUCUGAUCCACUAGCUCGCUAAUCCCCGGUGAUUGAUGAUGGACGGCGGUCCUCCCGGGGCCCAGACGGAAGCGGCGGUGGAGGCGGCGUGCCGGGCGGUCGGGGGAACGGAGCUGAGCUGGUGUCGGGCCGUCCCGGGGGGCACGGGCACGACCGUGCUAGCGCUGCUCCUCUCCCGCCCCGCGCCGCUCCUCCUCCCCUCCCUCGUCUCCUGCCUCCGCUCCCUCCUCCGCUCCCACCCCCUCCUCCGCUCCCUCCUCUCCCUCUCCUCCCCGACUCCCGCCUUCUCCGUCCCCAGCCCCGAUCCCCCAGCCACCCCGCAGCUCCCCCCCUUCCUCCUCCUCCUCCCCAGCCCCAUCUCCCCCUCCGCCGACUCCUUCCACUCCGUCCUCGAGCUCGAGCUCAACCUCAACCCGUGGAGCUCCCCCGCCCCCUCCGACCCCCUCCCCGUCUUCUUCGCCGCGCUCCACCCCCUCCCCCACGGCGACGGCGACGGCCACCGCUCCGUGCUCGCCCUCAAGUUCCACACCGCCGCGUGCGACCGCACCUCCGCGGUCGCGAUCCUCACCGAGCUCAUGCGCUUGAUGGCGGCGGAGGGAAGAACUGCUGAAGAGGCGGAAGAAGAAGAAGGAGGAGGAGGAGGAGGAGGAGCAAGCGGAGAAGAUGAUGCGGGGUGCGAGUUGGGGAUCGAGGAUCGGAUUCCGAAGAGGGACGCGUGGAAGCCGUUCUGGGCGAGGGGGAAGGAUUUGAUCGGGUACUCGCUGAACGGGUUGAGAACGUCCACGCUCCGGUUCGAGGACGCCGCUUCCAACCGCUGCUCCCAAGUGGUCCGGUUCGUCAUGGACGCCCCCGAGACGCGGAGUCUCCUCCGUGUAAGUUUUACUGUUUCUCUGACCCCACAAUAUUUUCGACCGGAUUUUAUUUUGGUCGUCCAACCUUUUUUUUUAUUUUAAUUUUACAUUUUUAAAUCAUUUUAUUUUUAAAUUUAUUUUACUCGUUUUUGAGCAAUGAAUGCCUACAUAAUACACCUACCUACAUUAUAGAACGGUGGUAUGAUUUACACCCUAAAACCUACACUACAUUCUCCCGCUAGCCUUAUCAACUUUUUUUUUUUUCUUUUAAAUUAUUAUUUUUAUUUUUUGACCAGGCACAGACAUCGUGAAUUAAUGAAGUUUUUGGUACCGAAAAAUGACCUGGUUGUCAAAUUUAGUAGAUUGGGAACCUAGGUAAAGAAAUUAAACACGUGCAAACAUUUGGAAUAUCAAAUAAAAAAACUUAAUUUAGGACCAGAGUGAAAACUUGGAUAGACGUUCUGGAAUAACUGAUGUUGUAAUGUAUGUGUUCUCUAAUUUCAAUUUUAAGACGUACGUUGAUCUCUAAGUUAUAAUAUUAAUUGGUCUCAAUAAUUAAUUGCUCGGAGAAUGUCAUUGUCUAAUUCGGAAAAAAAAAAGUGGUUUCUAUUAAUUAUGAUUUUUGACAUGUACAUGUUUUAAAUGUCAUGGAAAACAUUUAAUGAGUUACAUUUUGACGGUGAAAUCUAUGUGAAGGGGUUAAAGGGGUGCGCUGUCACUGUGUGAAGAAGUGUAUUUAAACAUCCGGCCGGUGAGGGCAAAUAAUUUCUACAGUAGUACUGCUACUGCAGUACUCUUUUUCUGUCUCUAACGCCUUUUUCCCGCGAAGAAGUGAUGUGGACGUGCAACUGAUUAAAGUGCUACCUCGAAGGCCUAAUAGAUCCGUUUGUCUGCCAUAGUGUACCAGCGUUUCAUUGGGGUGCCAAGAUGGACAGAUAGUGGUGAAUCUCCCUCAUAUGAUGUUUAUGCCUCUAAAAGAGAGGCUUGCCGACCAUGAGCCCAAUAAGAUUCAUGGGUAACUAGUUAUUUGAAUAGUUAUUUCUCAUUUCUACCCCUGAAAUGUGAAUUGGCGGUAACAGUACUCUUGUUUCAAAACUUUUGUUACUCAAAUCUCUUGGGCCUAUAAAAAGGAAUUGAUCUUAUUGGGCCCAGAUCAAAUUGGUCCUCGUGGGCUUCCGUUGUUUGAACUUAUCGAACUUUGUAGGAUAUGUUUUGUUUAGAUAGCUAAUCAGCAGAGCUCACUGUACUUUAGGCAUGCAGGGCAAAAGGAGUUAAGCUCUGUGGAGCCAUUGCAGCUGCUGCAUUGAUAGCUGCGCACUCAUCAAAACAGCUCGAGAAUGGUUGCUACGAGACGUACUCCGUUGUGACCCUGAUUGAUUGUCGGAAAUAUUUGGAACCUGUUCUAGACAAGCAUAAUGUUGGUAAGUUUCUUUCAAUUGUCGAUGCAAACAACAAUAGUUAGUCGCAAUGAAAUUCGUUUGCUGUAAACCACCUCAAUUCAGUAUUUGUGUGGUAGACUUGAGUCGCUUGAUCAUGUUCAAGGCGCUUGCUAUAUUGAUAACAAUUCAUGCUCUGGUAAGAUCUCUAUCCUCUUUCAACUCGAAUUCUACAUUGACACCUUAUUUGCUGCUUUCUUGACUUGAGUCGUUCUCAUUUGCUAUCAAAAUCACCAGCAGUUUUGUACUUGGACAAUAGUCAUGUGACGACGUGUAUUAAUUCCUCUUAUAACAAUGCACUUGGAUAGACAUAAAUGCAUGAUUGUAUUAACAGGUCCAAUUGCGAUAUUGACAAAUAGAUCCAUUAAAUAUGGUCGCUAUUAAUAGCCUGCACUUCAUGUUAUUAUUCAAUAAAUCUCGCAUGCUCCUAUGAAAAGUGAAUUUGUUAAUAAUAACGCUUGCUGACAAAUUCCUAUAAAUAAGAAACAUGAUAAUUAAAGAGGUCUUAAUGAUAACGCUCGCUGACAAGUUCCCAAAGUUAUAUAUUUAUGGGACCUAUCAAAAUGGCCUGUAGUUGGAAGGAGUAUAUAUAUAUAUAUAGCUUUUCACUUUUCAAAGUACUAGAGCCAUGUGUACUUCGUAUAUCUUCUGUGACGGAAACUAACAAAUAUCUUCAAGUAUCAUGAUUAUUGCAUUGCUAUUCCUCGUUACAACCAGUGAAAGUGUUUUUAUGUAUAGAAAUCUACAACUCGACCGUUCACGGUAAAGGCGUUUGUUUGUUACCUGCUUUGGUAUGUAUGUCUAAAUGCAUACUCUCCUAGUGUUGGAAAAUGAAAAGCAAGAUUAGGAACAUAAAUAAGUUUCACGUCUACUUGGCAAGCUUAUUCAGAAGGCUAAACUUUUGCAGGAUUCUAUCACUCGGCAAUCACGAACGCACACUCAAUCCACGGGGGUGAAGGACUAUGGGAGGUAGCCAUUCGGUGCCACAACUCCUACUCCAACGCGAUGAGCAACAAGAAGCACCUCACAGACAUCGGCGACCUCAACUUCCUCAUGUGCAAGGCCAUUGAGAACCCCCAACUCACCCCGUCCUCCUCCCUCCGUACGGCAAUCAUUUCUGUGUUUGAGGAACCCGUGGUCUACGAAACCUCUGACCUGCAAAAGGCGCUCGGGGUGGAGGACUAUGUGGGGUGCGCGUCGGUUCACGGCGUGGGGCCCUCUAUUGCCGUGUUUGAUACAAUCCGGGACGAGCAGCUGGACUGCGCCUGUGUGUACCCUGCCCCCCUCCAUUCGAGGAAGCAGAUAGAAAGGGUGGUGGAGCAUAUGAAGCGUAUUCUGAUUGAAGGAAGUAGUCAUUUAGACGAUCACGAGGACUUUGUCGAAAAUAAUGAUUGAAGUAGUAGGGCUUCGUGUAUAUGUUCUGCUGAGAAAUAAUUCUAUUCUCUUUCAUUAAAAUUGGAGAGGACAAUUUGGUAUUGUAUGUUGCCCAUAAUUAAGAUGACCUUACUUAUGGUGUGUUUGGUUCGCACUAUCUUUUAAAGAUUCCUAGUAAUCCAAUAGGAAUUAAAAAAUAUGACGGUGUUUGGCUAAACGCAAUAAGUAAUCUAGUUGGUAAUAUUGGAUUCACUUGGGAAUAAGAUUAAUCUCAUUCCCUUGAGGAAUGAUGUGUAUCUUCAUAUUAAUGGAUUGGGGUAAUCAUAAUAUGUCUACUCUCUUUCUUUCUCCCUAUCCGCCGGCUAAUCGAUAUUAUUUUUCUUUACACUCUAACGUCGUAUUUUUCUCUAAACUUAUUUUUCUCUUUAAAAUUCAACUUUUUUUUCUCUCUCUAAACUAAGCUUUAUCUCUCUCUCUUUCUAAAAUCUCAACUCUCCCACUUUCUCUAAUUUCGACACUAUUUCUCUUUCUAUUUUUUUUAAUUAUGCUCUCUCUCUCUAACUUAUGCUCUCUCUUUCUUUUUUCUAAAAAAAUGUUGAAACUUUUGGUAGCACUAUCUAAAAUUAAUAAAUAAAUAAAUAAAUAAAUUGUAUAUUUUUUGGAAUAUUAAAUAAUAUGGCUAAAUAAUAUUACCGUGCGAACUAAACACUGAAAUUUCACAUUCUUAGUAAUAGGAUAAAUAGGAAUAAGAUUUUCAGACAUCUUUUCAUUCCUAGUAAUAUUUUAUAAUGCAAACCAAACGCACCCUACUGGUAAUGCUAUGCAGGCCCUGCACCUCCACUUUUCAGGUUCUUGUGUCAAGUCAAAACAAUGAUUUUGAAGCAUCAGAAUAAAGAAAUUCCUGCUAUUACGAGGCUGCGUGCUCUUUUGGUACCAAUAUGUGCAAGUGAGACCUUUUUCUGUGUCUCCAAAUCAUGGGCCACCGAAAGAUUUCAGAGAAAUGUAUUUCUAUAAUCCUUUUCCGAGCCUGGCGCAGGUGAAGGUGACGGUCACACUAAUAAACAGGCUAUAAAUCAUCAAUAUCAAUACAAAUAAUAAAAGUUGGGUAUGUACGGCGCCCUCCCCGCGUUUCGCGGGGGCUUCCGCGCUCGCGAGGAAGAGAGAAAGAGAGAGAGAGAGAGGAGAGAGAGAGGGUGAGAGAGAGCAGACAGAGAGAGAGAGGGAGAGAGAGGGAGAGAGAGCAGACAGAGAGAGAGAGGGACAGAGAGAUAGAGAGAGAGCAGACAGAGAGAGAGAGAGGUAGAGAGAGAGAGGGGGGACACGGGGGCCCCAAGGGCCCGCGCGUAGAGAGAGAGGGGGGACACGGCGGGGUGGCCGGGUACCCGACCCGCGCCCCGCUGCGCAGGGGGCGCGCGGAAGAGAGAGACAGAGAGAGAGAGAGAUGACACGGGGGAGCCCCCAAGGGCCCCCGGCCGCAUGCAGCGGAGGAGAGUCUCUCUCUCCCGCCUACCUCUUUACCUCUCCUGCUGGCUCCCCUCUGCCUCUCCUCUCCCACCACCGAACCCCCCUCUCACGUCAUCUCCUCUCUCCCUUUGUCCCUCUCUUUCCUUCUUUUCCUACCCCCGCUCUCUCUCUCCUGGCCUCUCUCCCUCAGCAAGGGCGGCUGGCAUGCGGGAGAGGAGGCGCGGGGCGCGCACGCGGGAGGCAGAGGCGCUGGCACGGCGGGCGCAGCGGGAUGCGAGCAGAGCGGGAGAGGGCGCGGGGCCGUCUGUGCUGCACAGGUGUCGCGAUACGGGGGCUCCGCACCCGACGGCGCGGCGCUGGAGGUGAUGGCAACGCGCUCACAAGAUCUACCUGACACGGUGUCGGCAGAGGCCGAAGCGCGAGCAGGAACGGCGCCGGGCGCGGCAGCCAGCGGGCAGGCGGCGGGUCUGUGAGGAGCCAAGGCUACGGCCGUGUGGGCGCGGGCGGCCGCGGUCACGCUGCGGGCAACCUGCGCGGCGGCUUGGUGGUGGGUUGCAACGGGGUCACAGCGGCCAAGUGGCCCGUGGACCACACGAGAGGGAGGUGCCACGGUGGACGCUCCGCCUUCAUCCCUCUCUCUCGUCUCUCUUCUCUCUAUUAUAUAGAAAUUUUAUUUAUAUAAUAUAUAUAUAAAUUUAUUUAUAAAUAUAUAUUUAUGUAUUAUAUAUAGUAUUAUAUAUAUAUAAAAAAUAAUUAUAUAAUUAUAUAAUAUAAUAUAGUAUAUAUAAUCUACAUAACUAUUUUAUUUUAUAUAGAUAUAAUAAUAAAUAAAAUAUAUAAAUUAAUAUAUAUAAUUUAGACCUGCUGCUAUCGAUCGUCGCCGCGCUGCGCUACGCCACGGCGCGGCAAUGGCGCAUCCGGACGUCAAGCCCGCAGACCUGCUCCUCGCCAGGCGUGUCGACACAUCACUUUGACUUCGGGCUCGCCGCCUCGUGGAGCACGCGGCCGGACAGACCGCCUACCCGGUUCGUGCGGACCCCCGGCCUAAUCCAGUAUGUUUAUUAAUGCUCUUGAGACUUUCCGUUGAGUUGGUUAGAUGCCAUAGGAGCUUUAAUUUCAUUUAUUUAUUUGAAGGGCCCAUAGGAUUAGUUUGUUUUAAUUGUACGAACAUAUAUUUUUUCUACGGCAUUUCAUCCUCUCUCUCAGCUUCAAUUUUUUUUUUCUAUUUCUUUUGAGAUGCUCUUUGGAUGCAAGAUAGUAAUCAGUGCUCAUUUUGUGAAAACUGAGUUGCUUUUCCAAGAUAAAUUAUGUGAGAUUUGGACUGUGUUUGUAGAAUUUAUUAGUGUGCAGCGAAAGAAGUUAACUUGAAAAUGAGUUUUUAUUCCCCCUUAUUUGUGUUAGUCUCCUAGAUUAUUUAUCUGAGUAUCAAAUUGUAAAAUGAAGUGAAUCGUAUGCUUCUAGGCUUUUUCAAGCAUGUGGUAAAUUUCUGGGUUUCACUUCUAAUGCUACGGGUACGACGAAGCGCGCUGUCACGGACUGAACGAAUUUGCUCGCAAAAGUCCGUGCGGCGCUCGCCUUCCUUCGCGAAGUGAGCAAGCCUGCCUCUCUACUUGCUAAGUUAGGACCUCGCUCGCCCUAGACUAAGUACAAGAGAGAGAUAAGAAGAAAGCUCUUCUAUUACUUUAAUAGUUGAGAAUACAAAUGAGGAUUCUAAAAUUAGAGAGGUGGAGGCCACACUAUUUAUAGGCCACUCGCCGCCCAUAGUGCCAAUGAAAAGGUGCCAAGUGGCACAAUACUACAAGCCAAAAGGGGAGGCCAAUAAGUACGCUACGGUCUCCCAAGAGUCAUACAUUUAUUAUCCUAGAAACUUUAAGGGACUCUUGACCCUCCGGUAUCCGCACCAUCAGUCUCGAGAUCCGCGUAGAAGCUUCCAGAAGGUUCCAAGCCAAAACCUCCGUCAGAUGUCCGUUUUGGAGUUUGGGUGAUUGCAAAGCGAAAUCGCGGAGAAAAUUUUUGUGCCGUGACAAUCUGCCCCACCUAUUGCGCAGACGCCCUCGUCGCGCGCUGGUGUUGGAAGUCAUCGAUCAGCUUUUGAUACUUCCAGAGAGUGUCGGCCUUCUCCCAGCUUGCCUCGCCAUGCGGGAGAUUCUUCCACUUGACAAGGUACUCGACGCUCCUCGGGACUCCGCGACGCCGAAUGGUGCGAGUGUCCAGCAAGGCUUCGACCUCCUUGUCGAUUGCAGUGGUCAUAGUGGCGGGAGCGCGCUGCGACACGCCCCGGCUCGGGUCCUCCGCGUCUUCAUGGUAGGGCCGCAGGCAACUAGCAUGAAAGACAGGAUGAAUCUUCAGGUUAGCAGGGAGCUGCAGUUUGUAGGCUGCAUUGCCCGCUCGCUUGAUGACAGUGAAAGGCCCCUCGUACUUUCGCAAAAGUCCACGGUGCACUUUGCGAAAUGCCUUGAACUGUUGAGGCUGCAGCUUGAUCAACACUCGAUCUCCCUCGGCAAACUCCAAGGGUCGCCGCUUUGCAUCGGCCCACUUUUUCAUUCGGCGGGCCGCCUUCUCGAGAUAGGCUCUCGCAAUGUCCCCCUUCUCCUNNNNNNNNNNNNNNNNNNNNNNNNNAUAGUGUAAUCAAGUUCUAACGAGCCAAUCUGGAUUUGAAGCCACAUCAUGAAAAACCAACUGAGCAACGGAGCUUUCCGUGCUCCCAUAUUAUACCACCUAGCUUAUUAUAUAACCAAGUGUUUUUAAUUGGCGGACUUUCAAUCAACGAUCGGCUUCUGUUAUACUGAUCUACAUAUGAAAGUAUUUGGAAACUAAAUUUCAUAAUUUCAGCCGUCAAGAUACUAUCAACGAGUAUCUAGUCCAAAAUUGAACGGCUGAAAAAAAAAUCUCAUAAAAAAUAGAUGAUAGAAGACUUGAAUUAGAUCAGGGGUAUGACAUGUCGCAAUACUUGUUUAUUCUAAAUGGUUAAAAAAAAAAAUAUAAAAAUUUAUCAGAUUGGAUUUUUUACAAUCCGUUAAAUUCGAUAACGCCAUCACGUCUAUAAUCUGCCAUUAAAAUUGUGCAAUUUUUAGACUUUUGAUCACUAGCCAAAUAUUGUCGAAAAAUUAUAAAUUUUUAAUUCAGAAUAUUUUUAUAGUGUAUCAGUCUAGCGUGCGAUCGUCGAUUUAGAAGUGACGCAUCAUUAAAAACAAUUGUAACACGAGCCUCCGUGCUACUAUAAGAUAGACUAACCUAGCUCUCAUCUCUCUCUCUCUCUCUCUCUCUCUCUUCUUCUCUGUACUUAAUAUAUAUAUAAUAUAGCUGAGCUGGAAUGCUAUCCGGUAAGUAAACCGACUCUUGCAUACCCAUUGUUUUCGAUGAUGAGCCUCCAAAUACGACAUUCGGCAAUAGUUGACGGCAUAUCUAUGCCAUUAUGAAUCAUCUAAAACCAAAUUUUAUACUUUUCAAUAUUUUUCUAUUAUCCAUCAAAUAGACACAAAAUAACCGCUAAGAAUAAAUAUCUUUAAAAGUAAUAUAUGAAUUUAUAAUCAGAUCGAAAGUAUAAUCUUGUUCUUAAUAGUUUAAAGAAUUGUCUAACCAAAUCAAUUUAUUGAUAAUAUCUUUUACACUCGUUAAACGAAAAAAAAACGCUUCAUAUGACCCAUUAAAUUACAAAAUUUGAAAUCUUUAUCAUUAGGUCAAUGACCGUCAAAAAUAUUUGAAUUUUGAGUUCCCUAUAUACUUCAAGUGUAUAGAUCAUCUUCAACUGCAUCUUCGAUUUGAGCUCCAUAUCGAAAAUAAAUAUGCGCAAUGGCAGCCCGUUUCUAUUCGAUGUAUUCGCAGCUAACUCUCUCUCUCUCUCUCUCUCUAUAUUUUAUUAUUAUAGAGUCAGGCUGGAUACUAUCGAUAGCUACGAGUAUUUGUGCUCUAAUAAUUUUUCUGCCGUUAAUUUAUCUCUUUUAUCAUUUCAUUCCAUUCUGUUUACGGCCCCAACUUCAAUGGGUCACUCAUCUAGACUACUCCCGUCCCAGCACGCUUAACUCUCUUAACUCUUGGUCUUGCACCACCAAAAUCUUAAGCCGGCUAAAGAGUUUAGCCUAUUAUCUAUAUAUAGGACUACCCGGGUCUCACAAUCCUCCCUUACUAUCUAUCCUCGUCAGCCAGACAUAAGUAUCCAACGAGUGAGACUCGUUCACUUUAGCCUCAUCCAGACCCAUGGCUCCAGCGAGACUCAUCUCACACUUCGUCUGGUAUAUGGCUUAUACCAACUGCACGCCCAACUCCCAUGAGUCACCCAUCUAGACUACUCCGUAUCCCAGCACGCUUAACUCUUCUUAAACUCUUGGGUCUUCCACACCCAAAAUGCUUAAGCCUCGUAAGAGUUUUACCCUAGUAUAUCUUAUAUAUAGGAAACCCGGUCACACGUUCAUUUAUACAUUAUUCAACAACUACUUAUUCAACCUAGGCCCAUAUCAUCUAUCGCACAUCUUCUUAUUCAAAUGAAAGAAACUAAUACACCAAGUCAUUGUGCUAUUAUAGUAUUUUCAGCUUAGUUCUAUAUAUAUAUAUAUAUAUAUAUAGAUUAUAUAUAUAUAAGUUUGACUAUAAUACAUCGGUAGUAAACACUCGGUUUACUACCUAUUUGUUUUCGAUAUAGAUUCAAUAUAAUGAUCGGACACCUUCAACAUGAUUAAACUAUUAAACAUCUGGAAAUCAAAUUUACCUCACACCAUUUUUCGUUUAUUGUCUCUCUCCAUCAACUGAACAGAAAGAUGAAUGGCCUAGAAAUUAAAUAUCUUCAAAAGUGAUAAUACAUUUUAUAUUGAGAUCUAGCGUCUAGAUCUUAUUUAAAUAGUUUAAAGAAAUUUUCUAAUCAAAAAUUUAGUUGAUUUGAUACUUCUUAUACCGUUAAACGAGCAACUACACCCAUAUCGCGCUUAAAAUUACUUUGGCACAUUACUAUCGUUAGUUAGUUAUGCCAAAAUCAUGUAAAUUUUAUUUCUAGAUAAUUUAAAAUGGUUAGAUCAAUGUUCAACGUGCCGCGAUCGUGAUUAGCUAUCAUCAAAAACAAAUCGGUAUAAAACUGAGCAGCUUUACUACCAUAGUAGCCCAGUGCUCCAACGUAUUCAGUACAAUACAAUCAUAUCUACAUAUAUAUAUAUAUAUAUAUACUAUAUUAUUAUAUGUAUUUAUUAAUAUAUGAAACUUAUGUAUGUAUUAUGUAUUAAUUAGUAUGUAGAGAUAUACAUUACAUACAUAUAUACAUACAUAAAUACAUAAAUAUACAUAAUAUACAUAACAUACAUAUCCAUAUAUUACUAAUACAUACAUAUUUUAUAUAUAACAUACAUACAUAUAUUAUAUAUAUAAUACAUAUCAUAUAUCAUUCCAUAAUACAUUACAAAAUAUAUAUAUAUAUAUACAUACAUACUAUAUUAUAUAUAUAUAAAUGAUAAUAUAUAUAUAUACUAUACAACAUAAAAAUAUAUAUAUAUAUAUAAUACAUCCAUAUAAAUACUACGUACAUAUAUAUAUUACGUACAUAUAUAUAAAUAUGUAUCUACAUAUUAUAUAUGUAGUAUUAUAUAUAUGUUAACGUUAUGACUAUAUAUAUUACGUAUGUAAUAUAUAAUGUAUGUAUUAUUAGAUAAUAAUAGGUAUACAAGUAUAUAUAUAUAAUAUAUAUAUACAUGGAUAUAUACAGAUAUAAUAUAUAUAUUACAUCAUAUAACUAAUAUUAUAUAUCUGACAUGUAUAUAUAUAUAUAUGUAGUAUUAUUAUAUAUUAGUAAUGUAAUAUAUAUGUUGUAUGUAUUUAUAGAGAGAGAGACGGCAAGACACAGAGAGAGAGAGACGAGUAGAGAGAGCGCUAGGAUGCUUAUGGAAGCACGGAGGCUCCGUGCUCCUUGUUUUGCAAUGUUCUACUUCGAGAUCGACAAUUCGGCUCCUCGUUUAGACUUAUCUAGAGUAUUUGAAUACAUAGAAAUAAAUUUGCAUUUUCUGAUAUCAUUUGACUAUGUGAUCGACAGUGCAGGCUCAAAAAUUCAAACGCCUGAAAAUUAAAAAAUCUAUACAAAAACGCAUAAUAUGACAUUAAAAUUUUAGAUCAAAGUUAUUAUGUUGCUUUAUGUAGUAUAAAGAAUUUUCAAUCAAAAUAUUACUGAUUUUAUAUUUUCUACACGUUAAAAUUGCAAACAGUCACUACGGCCCAUUAAAAUUAUUCAAUUUUGAACCCCUCUCAUACUAGGGCAAAUGAUAUCGAAAAAUCAAAAAUAUUUUUUUACGGAUUUCACAAUAUCUAAAUCAAUCCUUAUGAGACCUGCAUCAACAAUUCGGCAAAAAUACGCCACAUCGAAAACAGGCCUGAAGCACGCAAGGCUCUGCUCUCCAGAAGCCAUAGAAGCCUUCCUCUCUCUCUUCUCUUCUCUCCUUCUUCUCUCCUAUAUAUUUAUAUAUACUUAAAUUAUAUAUUAUAUUAUUCCGAUGACUACUACAACAAUACAUAUGUUAAAGCGAGUUCACUUGGCCGACGUGGCGCUUUCUCUUAUCCCUCUCGAGAAAGAAAAAGAUAAAAGAGAGAGACGAAAGAGGAGAAAGAGAGACCGAGAGAAAGAGAGAAAGAAGAGGAGAGAUAGAGAGAGACAGACGAUGAGAGAGAGAGGAAGUGCUUUUUUUAGAUCCUUAUGUUCUGCUUUAGAUUAGAGGAGAAGGGGGGACACGGGGCCCAGGCCGCGCGUAGAUGACGAGGGGGGACACGCGGACUUGGUGGGCCGCGGUGUUUUUGUACCCGACUCGCUGCCCCCCACCCGCGGGCGCCUGGGAGAGAGAGAAGAGAGAGAUGAGAGAAAAUAGAUGGACGGGGGCCGGGAGGGGGACCAAGGGAUGUCCUUCUCUCCUCUCCUGCCACACAUCUUGACUCUCCCUCCCCUCCUGCUCUCCCUCUCCACCACCACCCCCCCUCUUUCUCUCGCCUCUCCCAUCUCUCUCCCCCUCUCUUCCCUAUUCUCCCCCCGCUCUUUCUCUCUCUUGUGCCCUUACCCCAGCGUGGGGGGCGGCAGCGGGGGCGGAUAGAUCAAAGCGUGCCGCGCGGCGCGGCAGCGAGCGGAGUCUAGAUUAGGAGCGGCACCGGGCGCGGUGGGACACUGCCUGGCCGCGCGUGUGUCUUCGCCAGUGCUUUUGCGAUCGCUCUCCACACCGAACCUUCUGCUUUGCUGCUGGAGGGUAGCAUGGCGGACGCCUCAAAUCUACCUGGUACACAGUGAAGUAUCGCCGAGGAGGCGGACGCUCGAGCGGACGGGCGCCAGGACGGCGGCGAGGCACGCGCAGACGGCGCCGGGUCCGAGCACAGCGCGCGCAAGGGUGGGCUCAGCGGCUGGCGCCCGCACGAGCCGGGGGCGACGAGGGCAAACUGUCCCGGGGGCGGCGGACGGGGUCGGCACGCGCGCGGGCGUCUCCGAGGAGCGAGCGCGGCACGACCGGGGCGCGCGGGCGGAACCGAGCCGUAGUGGGGCUUGCACAGUGCCAGUCCCAUCUCGGCCAAAGUGCCCGACACAUUAGAGAGGAACAGUCCAAGCCGAUAGACUCUUCUCAUUCUCCUCCGUCUUGCUAUAUAUAUAUAUAAUUUUAUUUAUAUAAUAUAUAUAUAUAUAUUAUUUAUUUUAUUUAAUAUAUAUUUAUGUAUUAUAUAUAGUAAUAUAUAUAUAUAUAUAUAAAUAAUUUUAUUUAUAAAUAUAUAUAUAUAUAUAUCUAUUAUAUACUAUUUUAUUUUUAUAUAGAUAUAUUAAAAAAUAAAAUAUAUAAAUAAAUAUUAAAUAAUUUAGACAUGCUGUAGAUCGUCGCCGCGUUGCGCUACUGCCACGCGCGCAGCGUGGUGCACCGCGACGUCAAGCCGCAGAACCUGCUCCUCGCUCGCGACGGCGUGCUCAAGCUCUCCGACUUCGGGCUCGCCGCGCUCGCGGAGCAGCGCGGCCGCGACGGGCGCCUACGCACGGCGUGCGGGACCCCGGCCUACGCGGUACUCUUUAUUAAUGGCUCUGAGACUUUCUCUUGAAUUGGUUAGAUGCCAUAGGAGCUUUAAUUUCAUUUAUUUAUUGGAAGGGCCCAUAGGAUUAGUUUGUUUUAAUUGUAUAACAUAUAUUUUUUCUACGGCAUUUCAUCCUCUCUCUCAGCUUCAUUUUUUUUAUAUAUAUAUUUCUUUUGAGAUGCUCUUUGGAUGCAAGAUAGUAAUCAGUGCUCAUUUUGUGAAAACUGAGUUACUUUUUCAAGGUAAAUUAUGUGAGAUUUGGACUGUGUUGGUAGAAUUUAUUAGUGUGCAGCGAAAGAAGUUAACUUGAAAAUGAAUUUUUAUUCCCCCUUAUUUGUGUUAGUCCCCUUGAUUAUUUAUCUGAGUAUCAAAUUAUAAAAUGAAGUGAAUCGUACACUUCUAGGCUUUUUCAAGCAUGUGGUAAAUUUCUGGGUUUCACUUCUAAUGCUGCGGGUACGACGGGGCGCGCGCCAAAGCGUGGUCGUGCGGGGUCAUCCUCUUCGUGCUCCUCGCGAGACGGCUCCCCUUCGACGACGCCAACAUCCCGCUCAUGUACCGGAGGAUCCACCGGCGCGACUACACGUUCCCGCUCUGGGUCUCUCCCCUUCUGCAACCACCUCAUCUGCCUCUACGCCCAAUGCCGCCUCCCCGUCGCCGCCCGCAAGGUGCUCGACGAAAUCCCCCAAUUAAAAUUUUCUAUUUAAAUAUAUAUAUAGUAAUAUAUUAUACUAUAAAUAGAGAGGAGAGAGAGGAGAGAGGAUGAGAUGAAGAGAGAGAAGAGAGAGAGAGAGAGAGAGCUAGACCUAUGCUUCGAAAGUACGGAGCGCUCCGUACUUGUCAGUUGUUUUCAAUAAAUGGGACAUCCGAUUGUGCGAUCGGUUCUGUUAGACAUGAUCUACGCUGUUGGAACUACCUAAAACAAAUUUAUAAUGUUUUUGUUCGUUUUGUCUAGUAAACGAUGUAGCCUCAAAAUGAAACGGGCUGAAUAAUAAAGAUCUCAUAAAAAACAAGUGAAAAUGACUCAAAUUUGAAAUCAAAGUAUUGAGUUUACUAGUUGAUGUUAAGUAGAUUUUCUAUUAAAUUUUCAUCUAAUUUGGAUCUUCAUACAUACCGUGGAACUUGAAAAGUGCUUACAUCGCGGCCAUUAAAAAUAGUUCAUUUUUUAGACCUUAUUGAUCGACUUGGUAAAUAUUCAAAAUUAAAAAUUUGGUUUCAUAAAUAAUUCCUAAUUGGUAGAUUUAACUUAAACGGAGCCGCCGAACGAAUCGGAUUUGUUAUCAUCGAAACAACUUAAAGGUAGGAGGUCCGUACUUUCGAAAGUACAGAGUUCUUACUAUAAUAUAUAUAUUAUAUAUAUAUAUAGUAUAAUAUAUAUAUAUAAUAUAUAUAUAAUAGUAUAAUAGGUUGGAAUAUAAAUUAAUAGUAAACCUUCUUUUAUCUAUUCAAUUUUAACCUUGGAUUAAAAUUGUAGGUUGGAUGAUGAUAUGUCGGUUAGAAUUAGUGGUCCAAAGGUUGGGUGGUCCCCACUUAGGUUAUAGUAUUUUAAUCCAAUGGAUUAGUUGAAAUAAUGAAAUAGUUGAUCAAAGGUAAAAAACUGUAGCAUAUCAAUAAAAUUUGGCUACUAAAUUAGUAGCCCAGUCCAACUCUCUCUCUCUCUCUCUCGUCCUCUCUCUGCUCUCUCUCUCUCUACUAUAUAUAUAUAGAAUAAUAUACACAUAGAGAUAGAGAGAUAGAAUAUAUAUUCUCUCUCUCUUUUUUUUUUCCUUUCCCAAUUUUUUUUUUAGUAUUGUGAUUCACAUACAAAAAAAUAAAAAUUUAAAUUUAAACUUUAAAUUUAAAUACAACAAUUAAAAUUUUCUAUUCAAAUUUAUAUAUAUAUAUAGAGAGAGAGAUAGAAUUAUAAAAAUAUAUAUAUAAUAAAUAUAUAUUUAUAAAUAAUAUAUAUAUAUAUAGAGAGAGAGAGAGAGAAAGAGAGAGAGAGAGAGAAUUUUAUAUAUAUAUAUAUAUAUGUAUAUAUUAGUAAUUAAGAUAAAAUAUAAAUAUUUUAAAUUUUAAGUUCUAAAUUUAAAAUUUAAAAUUUUAAUAUUUUAAAUAUAUAUUAAAUUAUAAAUGGAAUUUUAAAAAUCCAAAUAUUAAAUUCUAAAUAUUGAAAUUUUAAUUUGAUAUAUUAAAAUUUAAAUUUUAAACUUCAAUAUUUUAUAUUUUAAAUUUAAAUUUAAAUUUUAAAUAAUAAAAUAUUUUAAAAUUUAAAUAUUUAAUUAUUUAUUUCGAUUUUUGUUCGUAAAUUUGUCGCUGUGAAGGGCCGGCCUUCACUCGUGGUAUUAAUUCUAGUGUAGAGGACAGUGGUACACAUGCUGUUAUUGUAAUUUCACAAGACAAAGUGAUAUCAGAGUGAUUGGGAGAAAUCGAUGGCAGAGGCGGACUCAUCCGGCGCCGAGGCCUCCGCCGCCGCCAGCCGCCGCCAGGCGAGGUGGUCUCUUCGGGGCAUGACGGCUCUCGUCACCGGCGGCACCCGAGGAAUCGGGUCUCUCUCUCUCUCGUCGUCUCUCUCUCUGUCCGCCUACAUUUACCUCUCUCUGUCGUACUUUUUACGCUUUUUACUCUUCUUCUCAGGCAUGCGGUGGUGGAGGAGCUGGCGGCGCUGGGAGCGGCGGUGCACACGUGCUCGCGGAAAGAGGGGGAGCUGAAGGAGUGCCUGGAGAAGUGGGCGGGGCUAGGGUUUCACGUCACGGGCUCCGUCUGCGACCUCUCCGUGCGGGAGCAGCGGGAGGCCCUGAUGCGGGAGGUGGCUUCCGCCCUCGAUGGCAAGCUCAACAUCCUCGUAAGAAAUGGACGCAUUUUUUACUUUUUAUUUCUCUCUGUGUUGUGCCGAUGCUGUUGUUGCUCUUCUUGUUAGAUGGGCUUUAACAAGUUACUGUUGGUAUCCGAGACCCAAGUUCGAAUCCUAGUUGAUUCACAUUUACAGCUAAGUUUAUUUUAUUUAAAAUAAACGAAGCGGGUAGGGUGCUACCUAUCUCUCAAAAAAAAAAAAAAAAAUUUACUGUUGGCGGAUUUGAAGGAAAGGGUGUUGAGAUGGAAUGCUAGAAUGCAUACCCUUUUAUGUAUGAUUUGAAAGGUCCAAAUAAAAAAUAAAAAAAAAAUUUAAAAUCGCUUCCAAUCUUCCGGCAGUUGACCAAUUUUAUAAAAAAUAAUUGCAGUUGGAACCGCAGCAUGCUCCUCCGGUGGCGAAUUACUACUACAAUUUUUUUAUAGCAUAGAAGGAGAAAAGAUUGGAAGCGCUAUCGAAUGCUUUAGGCCUUUCAAAGCAUAAAAAGGAUGCUUUUAGUUGCUGCAUUACCAAUUAGUCUCAUAUGCCUCACUGAUUGUGUCUUCUUGUAAUUGUGAGGAAUUUUUUUUUUUUUUUAGGUGAUUUUCGUGAGGAAACAUAACCAAUAACCCCAGAUAAUUAGCAUAGGCCUCUAGUAGUCUUCUUGAUCUGUUGUUAAAACUUGUGCUUUCUAUAUAUGUAAGGUUUAUGGAGUCUAGCAAGAUGAGUUAUGUUGAAUAUAAAUAUAAAAACAUUGUUCUAUGAUAGUUUAAGCUUUUAGAGAAUAAUUAUUGCUUCACAUUCUUUACCAUGGUAUCAUAGCAUAGGUCCUAACUUUUAGUCCCGCAAAGCUGCUAGCUUUAGUUUCUCCUGUUUAAUUCAAGUUCAUGUUUUGGGCAUAUGAAAAUGGCCAGCGCAGACAUAAGGCGGAUUAUUGAAUAUAAAUAUUAAAACGUUCUAUUGUAGCUUAAGUUUUUGGAGAAUAAUGGUUGUUUUGCUUUUUCUUAACAAAUGGGAUUGAAAUGGGAUGCUAUGAUUAUGAAUUGAUAAAAGCGGAGAAAGUGUUCAGUGUUCUGCUAUGGAACUUCAUGAUGGGUGACUGGAUGUUGGGCUUAGUUUUUUUUUUUUUUUUUUUGGUCUAAAUGCAUUGCAGAUUAUGUCUUCUUGAAAUUUGGGAGUGUUAAUUGGUGAAUUUUCUUCUUUUAAUAAAAGUUGUCAUCUAAAUGGUGAUUUGAAAGAGGUAUCAUGACCGGAUGCCUUAUAUCGUACGAAAAGGAAGGAUGGUGAUUGAGGUGCAUGGAUAGCCAAAAACUACCAUAGAAUUCUAUGUAGUUGGCUUGCUGAUGCUAAAGAAGGGCAUCCUCUUCGAGAAGAAAAAUACAUAGUAGACUAUAUGAAGAGCUUUGAUACGAAAUGUCAGUUGAAUCCCUUUGUUAAAAUUGGCAUUGACCAAGAAGGGUUCAGAUUAGAUGAAUAACACAGUCAUGGGCAACUGAUAAAAAUGUGUAGAAUGACAACCAUCGCUGUUUUCGGUACUUUUUACUAGCGGUUAAGUGUGAAAGUUUUUGCUUGUAUAAUCAUAAAUAAACACAUUCAAAAGUACAUAGUAAGCCUUGCAGUUAAUGACCAGCAGCCUUUAGUCCUGCGGCAUGUGCUGUGCUACGACUCAGUACAGCCUAGUUCUAGUUUUAAAUCUUUUCAAAUAUGAUUCUUUAUAAGUCCCUUGAUGGAAUUAUCUACUAAUUUUAACUGCAAUUCUUGAAAAUGUUUUGGCACUGAAUCAAAUUAAGGGUUAAAACUUGACUAAAACCAGAUUUCCCAAAAUAAUUGUCAUUCAAUCAAGAAUUUUUGUACAAUGUUUGAAUGAUGCUUAUAAUGGCUAAUGUUAAAUAUUGGUGUUCACUGAUUUUCAAGUUUUUUUAGAGAUUACUUGGAUUUAUCAAAUUUGGAGUAACAGACAGAGAAAGCCAAAUUCCCCCCCAGAUUAACCCUCCUUUUCAUCAAAUAAUUAUUGAGAUAUGUAAAUGGCCUUAUAAGAGAGCUUUGAAGGCAGUUCCGAGCACUUCUGCUCUUCCAAAGAUUGGAGGACGUGAAAAAAGGAUUUUGGGCUUGUGGUUUAAGGAAACAGUAUACCAUGCCAAAAUUGUGUUGGAUUGGGAGCAGGGCACUCCCUAGGUGCAACUACAUAGAAUCUGCUCAAAAGGGGCAAUGGAUCAACUAACUUGUUGUUGUCCAGCUAACAAUCAAAUUUCCUGUUAUUUGUUGUGCUCACUUCAACAAUUUAUAUGGAAGAGAAAUCAACUAUUGGUGAUACUAAAUUACUAAGGUACUUAGUGAAGAGGCAUGCUCUUUGGCGCAAAUUUGUUCGAGAAAUGAAAUCUUUUGGAUGCUUUAAUGCCAUUGAACAGUAAAUAACGUUGAUUUUUUAAUACCAUGUAACAAAUGAUUUUUGAAUUUGUAAUUGCAGAAAUCUUUUGGUUGUGUAUCCUUCCUAUCGGAUGAUAGAUAUCUCAUUCUCUUGACAUUGCUUGAUAAUUUCAAAGUAACUUAUGAAUUUCUCCUAAGCUGCUGAAAUUGGGGCAAAACCACAUUUUCUAUCUGCAAAUCCUUUGUUCUCAUUUGUUUUUAUUCUUUUGAAUGAUUUCUCGUUUCAUUAUUUUCUGUAGAUAAACAAUGUUGGAACAAAUAUAAGGAAACAAACAGUUGAAUAUUCUGCGGAGGAGUACUCUUUCCUUAUGACCACCAAUCUUGAAUCUGCAUACCACAUGUGCCAACUUGCACACCCUCUUCUUAAAGCAUCCGGAAUGGGAAGUAUUGUUUUCAUUUCCUCGGUCGCUGGGGUGGUAGCUUUAAACAGUGGAACCAUAUACGCUGCAACAAAAGGUAAUGGUGAUGUGAUAAAUCAUCUUAUUAUGCUGUUUUUGAAGAUUUUUACAUAUGUAUCGCUGUGGGAUUUAUAUUUUCUUAUUUGCCCUUUAGACUCUUAAUUUCGAAGUUGUAUACAAUUAAACUGUUGUAUACCCUUAUACUACAAACUUACGAAGCCUUUUUCAAUAUACAACAAGCUUUCCUUAUGAAUUGGAUGGUUCUCCAGUUUAGGAUACUCUCUCUCUUUUUCUUUUUUUUUCUUUUUUUUCUUUUUGUUUUUGUGAGGGGUAUACAUGAAAAUUUGGAUUUUCCAGGGGUAUACAUAAGUAUCAGUUUAGUAUUUUUCAGUUUUUGUGUGGAAAGAUCGGGUUUUGAAUGGAACUGCAUUUCGGGUACAAGUUCUGACUUUGUUAUCUCUUUGGUCACACAAUUUUUACCACAGGAGCAAUUAACCAGUUGACAAAGAACUUAGCGUGUGAAUGGGCAAAAGACAACAUCAGAACCAAUUCUGUUUCCCCAUGGUACAUCAAGACAUCACUCGUAGAGGAGGUACAAACUUUUCCUCCCUAUAUAACGUAUCUGAAAUUACUACAUUUUUUCAUUGCUUCAAUAAAUAGGAAUUUGGACACUGCAUUCAAUUCCCAGAUCUAUUUGCACUGUGGUACACACGGGUUGACGGACUUGUACAGGGUUUUAUUACUGCUGAGGUCCAUAUGCAUGUGCAUGUGUGCAUGUAUCCGUACAUUCCUCGAUAGUUAUGCAUAUUACUAUUAGUUGGGUUGAGGUGCUUUCAGAAGAAUCGGGCACAUACUUGAAGAAGCAUGCCGACUUGAUGCACAUCGAGUUUCGCACUCAUUAGGGUCCAAGAUGAUGCAUCCGUGCGGAUCACGAUGCAGAUCUGACACUUUUAAGGUCAGAAGCACGGAGGGGCCAGUGCUUUUGGAAGCGCUAACCUAGCUCUAUACUUCCCCUGUACUUCAUGCACAAGAUUACGAUAAGCUUUUGUUGUUCUCCUGCUAAUUGCGUGUGCUUUAAUGCCAAAAAAGGACGGAAGUGAAUGUCCAUGAUUUGUUCAUUCUCUAUGUGUAGUUACUAGAGCAAAAGGAAUUCGUGGAGAAGGUGAUUGAGCGGACCCCUCUUCGAAGGGUGGGAGAGCCUGAGGAAGUGUCGUCGCUUGUAGCGUUUCUCUGCCUCCCUGCCGCAUCUUACAUCACCGGACAAACCAUCUCUGUCGACGGAGGGAUGACCGUUAACGGGUUCUACCCCUAGCAUUGCUUGAUUCCGUCGCAUCAAAAAUGAACUUCCGGUGAAUAGCUAAUAAUAAACUCCUCUCCCUUCUUCAGCAUUUGGUACUGAAUUCUAGUCCUACCAUGUAUUGCGAAAGGUUACAGGGACCAAAAGCUGAAUUAUUUGUAUGAGGAUUAUUUGUACUGAAUUAUUUGUAUGAGGAUUAGAAGUUGCAAAGCUGAAUCGAAUAAAAGCUGUUUAUCUGGAUGAAAUUUAUCCAAACCGGGUAUCUUUCUUUCAUGGUUAUGGUCUUAUUAGUGAAUUACAUUGCUGGUUACUAAACUUUAACUUGACGUGAAGUUGUAUUGAGGUCAUUAAAAUUUUAAUUUGUUAUCAUCUAGUCAGUAAACAUCGGUUUCCAAUUCACAGAAAUGACCCCUUCAAACUUCAUUCAAUUUUUAUUUAGAAAAAUAAUUUGAAAACUCUUUGAUUGCCAUGUCCCCUGAUCAAAUCAUAGUUGUCGUGGGAUGAUGUAUGUGGUAAGUGAAUUAAUUGCCCCAUUAGUUAUUCCUACGCCAUCUAUUGGUUGCGACGUGGUUGCUAAAUCUGCUAUAAUUUGUUUCAGUAAAAUCAAACGGAGUAGAGUGAAGUGAUCCAACUGAAACAUAAAUUAAACUUUUGUUAUUUAAUUAUAAGAAACUGAAGUUUGCUUGUUUGAAUGGUACUCGUGUGGUGCGUUUAGUAGCCAAGGGUGUAACACCUUCGGAAAAAAAAAAUAUUCAAUGAUAAAUAUAUUAUUCAAUAUAAAAAUUUUCUUGUGGUUGGAAAUAAUGAGUCUUAAUUUUAUUUCCUGAAAACUCUUUGCAUUUAUCCUAAAUGAGUCUAAAUUUUAUUUCCCCAAAGCUCUUUGCAUUUAUAAUUUGUUAGGAUAGCAUAUUUUACAAACGAGGUUAUUUAUUUUAUUUCGAAAAAAAAACUUGUAUGUCAAGUUGUUAGUCAAUUCUAAGUAUUUGAUCAUAUUUCUUAUCUAUCAAAUAUUAUAUAUAUAUAUAUAUAUAUAUAUAUAUAUAUAUAUUUAUUUAUUUUACAAUUCUAUCUAUAUAUUUUUUAAUCCAAGGACUAAAAAAACUAAUAGCACCAAAUCUUUGGUACUAUUGAUAGUAUUCCAUAUAUUUUUUAAUCCAAUGACUAAAAAACUAAUAAUACCAAAUCUUUGAUACUAUUGAUAUAUAUAUAUAUAUAGCGAUUGAACAGUGAUAGACUCUAUUUGGAUGUAUAAACAUCACAAUUAGUACAUCUCUUCCAUGUGCUAAAAAACUCUAUAAUAAUUAGUAAAUAAGGAGUGCCAUGAAGGCCAUUUUUAGAUGUAGGAAUAAGUUAUUUAGAAAUAACCUAUUUGUUAUAAAACAAUUUUUAUUUAAUUGAAAUCAAAUAAUUUAAUUAUUUCCUAGGAAAUUAUCAAGAAAAAGAAGAAUUUCUUGAUAAAUAAAUUAUUUUAUUGGUAGAAGAUCUAGCUUAGUAAUAAACCAUACGACACGUGGCUGUUGGAUUGCAAGUGUCUUACCAAAACUGAUCGGCGCCAUGGAUAUUAAAAAUGCGAAAAAGCAAACAUUCUCUUGAGAAUUGAGCAUUUUGUUUUAUUUUAUUUAUUAGUUCUAUGAUGUAUCAUGUGUGAUCCGACGCACCUUUACCCUCCAAUUCUCUAUUAUUUAUAUAUGAUCUAUCGAUAUGUGGCUUGGUUUUAAGCUAUGUUAGUUAAUUCGUGAAUCUUUUGCAAAUUUUUGAAGAAACGAAUUAAACGAUCGAAUUCAUAUUUUUUCCAAAAAUUCAGAAAAAAAACAUAAUUUUUUAAUAAAAAAAUACUUAUUCGCAUAUUAUGCGCGCGCCGAAUUAUUCGGCCAAAAAAACGCCACGACAGCGCCGCGAGCGCCCGCGCGCUCCCGCGCCUCGCGCGCUCCCGCGCGCUCGCGGCUCGCGGCUCACGAUCACGGCUCGCGGGCCUCGCGGGCCAGCUAGCCCAAAACAGAAAAAAUACAAAAAAAAAACCCUUUCUAACCACCUCACCCAAAAUAGAAAAAAAAACUUUUUUUGAAUUUUUUACUUAAUUAGCUUAAUUUUGUAGCUAUUUAUUCUUAUAUUCUUAAGAAAUAUAAGUAUUUAUGCUAAUAGCAUAAAUCUUGAGAGAAAAAAAACUUAAUUUAAUAGCCGAAUUUUUUAUCCCGAAUUUUUAAUUGGUGAACAUAUAAUAUCCGUAUAAAUCACGUAUCCGAAUAAUUGACGAAUCCCUUUUUUAGCCGUAUUUUUCAACGAAUUUAAAAAUUAAAAGACAAAUUUUAUUCGAAUUAUACCCAUACCAAAUUUUUGCCGAAUCCGAAUUAACUAACUAUGGUUUUAAGUAAGAUCGGAUUUAUCCCUGUUGAAUAAAAACCACGGCAAUGCACAGUAAGUUUAAUCAAAAUUUAAUUCUCAAACUUUAAUUAGUCGAAUACAAGCGAGAAUUCUUGCGUAUCGUGAGUUGUGUCCCGAAUUAUGAGUGUCCGUAAGGGGAUAGCCGGGUCCUGACACCGGCAACGACCUUUUCCUUUCCGGAACAGCCUGUGGGCGUGCCACCUGCGGCAUGGUCUGUAGAGCGAGCGUUGAGAACAUGGCAACCGAAGGGUUCGCGGCGGGUGCCUGGUGGCAGUGGGUACGCAACCCGGGUUGUAGAACCUACUGCUAGUGACGACGUCGGAGCAGGUAUGGUUUAAUUGAAGCAAUUGUAUGCUUUUGCAUGAUGUCAAUUUGGUACAUUGCAUGCAUUUACCAUGUGGUCAAUUACUACUAUGUAUGCAUUAGUAUAGUAGGGACCAAGUGGACGGGUAGGUAUAGACACCCGGCAUGCUGAUGUUGUGAGAGCGUGUCACCUGUUGGAGCAAGUGGAGAGUUAGAUGGUACUAGCGAGUUGCUGGUGAAUCGUGCCUGUGUAGUCGGUGCGCGUAAGCAAAGUUGCCUAAUGCUGAACUUAGUGUGAAAGAGUAUAAAAGCGUACGACGCUCAAGUGUAGAUACUCGUGGAGUGUGGGUUUGGCUCAGCCGAGAGAGUGUGUUGGCAGUAGCACUUCAGCAUUGUUAGGUGUGAAACGUGCCAUGGAUCACUCGUAGGGCUGGUGGCUCGCAUUAGGUACAUAGGAGCCGAUAGUGGUAUGUGUGGCUCGGUAGAGCAUGUCAAGUAGGACGAUGAUGGCGGGUAUUGCUUGGGGACGAUCGGUGCCUAGAUCAUUUGUGGACUGUGGAGCCUGGGGCCAUUUGGACAGGAGCAGUCAGCUGUGUAGAACAGCGGCCCGGUACCUACAAAUAGGGCAGAGGCUUUGGUCGGGGUGGUAGUUCGAGCUUAGACCCGGAAGCGUGGAAUGCCACGUGUUGGACCGUGUGAUCGAUAAUUCACCGAUGAUACACCGAGAGUGUGUAGUGACCCAACCGAGGAUAUGACGUGGUUUGGGUUCUUGGUUGCUCCUGGUUGGAGUGUGUGCGAAUUCUCCAAUGAGAAUUUCGCCCAGUGAUGAUUGGGUCUGCGCUUGCGAGCGAGAGACGUUGCGCGUAUUGAGAAAGGUUUAGGCGGUAGGCCUACGUAGGAUUGGUGGCCUGUGGUCCACCUAUGGAAACCGAGGAAAGCGGUUGGCCGGUAAUUCUGUUAAUGAGAUUAGCUUAGAUUCACGAACGAAGUGUUCGUGUGAGCUCAUUGCAAGAGUGAGCUGAUGUUGGCCAUGGCAUAUGGUAUCAAAAAGAUAAAGUGCUCUUUGUGAGACAAUGAGCUAGUGAAAAGCAACGUGAUGUUUGGGGACUAUGCUCUUAGGUGUAUUGGAACUCGGGAUGUGCCGAAGUGUGCCAUCUCACGGUAAAGCUGAGAGUCCAGUUGUGAUUGGAGCACUCGCGAUUGAGCGAUGCAUCUGUGAUAUUGCUUCGAAGCAAUGCCAGGAAUCGAAUCGGAGUGUGUUCCCUAAAGGGGAUGGUAAAUGCAACGAAGAGUCGUAUAUGGUGAUAUGGACUCUUGUGAGAUUCGAGGAGGUCUACCCGUACGUAUGGUGUAGUGGUGGUGGACCAUUCGACUGGUUGAUGUAUUCUUGUUAGAUCCACACCACGAGGAUGAGGGGUAGUCCUGAUCUCGAAGGAAAGUGAUAUCCGGUGGUAAUGGUGACAUGCCGGGUAAUGAGAAUAUGUUAGAACCCUUAGUUACUCGAGAGGUCGAGUUGAGGUAUGAUUUAAGUUUUGAGGACGAAACUCUUUUAAGGGGUGGAGAAUGUAAUAUACUGAACUUCUACAACUAUGUAUUUUUAGUGGGAACUAGCUUGAAAAGCUAGUAAAAUAGUUUCGGCGAAGUUCGAGAAGCAUUUGAGUGUUUUCGGCGCAAACCGGACGUGAAAACUGGUUCCAAAAACUAAAAUUUGUAUGAAGUGCAGAAUUUUGUACUGAGUACUGGUACUGAAAAACUGGGUACCGGUACUAAACCGGUCAGGUACCAAUAUUGGAAAACUGGGUACCGGUACGCAGUGUUAAAAAUGUGGCAGAAUGUAGUUUUUGAGCUGCAGGACCUACGGGGUCCGGACCCUAGCGCCAAGGUCCGGACUCUGCACGCGAAAUGGCCCUGAAUGAGGGCAUUUUGGUAAUUUUGGGGGUUGGACUUGUAGAAAUACCCCUCCUCCUUCCUUUCCCUGUUGGAGAACACAACACACGCCCACACCCACACAUGUAGAGAGAGAAGAUCUCCUUUCUCUCUCUAGUCUCCUCUCUUUUCCUCUCUAGAUCUCUCUCCCAAACUUAGGGUUUUGGUGGAGAGCAAGUUCGGAAACGCGCGGGGAGCGGUGGAUCGAACCUUCGCGUGCUUGGUGGUGCGGCGUGCUUUCGACUCGAGGUUCGUAUUUUGGUAAGAGUUUAGGAUUUGGAUUAAAUCCUUCAUGCAUAAUAUUCUGGUGAUCCCUAGAAUAUUCUAAGCAUGUUUCUCUAUGAUUUUGGGGUAUUUGGAGAAAUGGGGAAAAGCUAGGGUUUGGAAUUGGGGGUUUUGGGGUUUAUGGGUUUUGUGUUAAGGAUUUUGUAUUGGCAAGUUUCGUGAAGUGAGUCGGAGUCUUGAAGGAUCGAAGCGGAUUGACAAAAAUCGAAGAAUCCGAGACUUCGAAGAAAUCAGAAAAUACCUCACGACGUGAAUCACAAGGCUCAAGUAAAGUUUUGAUUCAUGUUAUGGUGAUUCAUACUUAGUUAUAGGCAUUAGAAUCAUAAACUCAAAGUUCAAUGGAUUAGAAGUGCCUCGGAACGUUGUGAAACCCGAAAUAGUGCAAUGUGUGAAAAAAUGCACUGCUUACUGGUACAGCAAUUGACCAGUACCGGUACAGUCAUCAACUUUGGCUUCGCAGAUUUUUGUUCCGUUAUUGUGUAACCGGUGACAGCCUUUCGUGUACCGGCACACUGUGUAAAAUCGUGAAAACUUUCUAAUCCGACUCUGUUUGAUUCUAAAGUCUAUAAAUAAGCUAUUGGGGUUCUCUAACAUAUCAAGCAUCACGAAAAUACAUGUUUGAGAAACCCUAGAGGCUCGGAUUUCAUCUAAAACCUAUUUUCUACAUAAAGCCUCUUUUAGGUCAAAUCGAGAUUUUGGAUUUUGAUAUCAAUAUGUCGAUUUGAUCUCCACUUCGCUUAGAGUUUGCUUCCCUGGUUUUCAUCGAUACUCUAAGCGAAGGAUCACCAUACACAUGAUGUUCUUCAUGAUGGCGUCGUGGAUUCGGCGUGAUUGACGGCGGUUCGUGGAUUCGGAUCGUGGGCUCGUGGAUUCGAGUGGCGUUCGUGGAUUCGGACGUGUGCGAGGCGUUCGUGGAUUCGAACGUGAGGGCGUGGACAACCCGGAGGAUUGCGCGAGAUUCAUAGGAGGUUAAGAGAGGUUGAGUCCGUGGAGUCGGUAAUCACCUUGUAAUCUUUUCUCUUAGUGAAUUAUUUUUUCGCGUGUUGGUCCCGUGGGUUUUCCUCCAAGUUUGAGUUUUCCCACGUAAAUCUCGGUGUGAUUUUUAUUUUCCGCAUUUAUUUUAUCGCAUUGAGAUUUAUGGUUUUUGGCUAUUACACCUAUUCACCCCCCUCUAGGUGUUAGAUACAAUCUAGAUAGAUCCUUGGGCUCCUCAAAACUUUCAAUCGGUAUCAGAGCGGGAUCUAGAUAAAUUGUUUAUCUAAUGGCCGAAGGCUGAAACAUUAAUCGACCACCGCUCUUUGAUGGCACAAACUAUGCCUGUCACGCCCUGCCCCGAAACCCACUACCAAUUUGGCACGGUUCGGCCGCGGCGGCAGACUGCCGAACGGACAGCAUCUCCCCUGUCCGUCCAAGGCUCAACAAUAAGAAUGUGUACAAGAAUUUACCCAGGAACUCAAAUUCUAAACGUGCACAUUCACAAGGGCGCAAACAAUGCCGACAAUACAAAGAGCAAGUGAUCCACAAGAUGUACAUGUGAAAUAAAGAGAGUAAUUUACUAACUUUUACAGUAGUUUUCAUUUACAUCAUUUUCUUCAAAUGAAUACAUUUUCCAUCUCAAAAAUAUAUAGCUCUCCAAGUCCUCACCUACAAUGAAUCUCUCAAAUACAUAGGUGAACUAAUGCAAAAAGGAAAGCUACCAACUACCACGGUCUCACUGAUCGGGCGCGAUGCCCUUGCCGCGGUCCUCCCUCGGCAAUCCUGUACCUACCACUGGAAAUAGAGUGGGGUGAGAACUAUCUUCCAUAGUUCCCAGUGGGCUCGGCCGCCGACUCUGCCGAUCUCCCCACUAGGUCCAAGUGGGCACAAGUAACAACAGAUAGAUAGAUAGAUAUGUAUCUGAAAGCUGUAAAUGCAGUAGUAGGAAAACUAUGCUACUAUGCCCAUAAUCAUGAAUAUGAAUGCAUGCAUCAUAUAAUAAAGGUUUGCUAUCAUGCUAACAAAUUCGAUCCAUGUUCGAAUAAUAAUGUUCAAUGGCAUUGUUCACUGUUCUUUUACCCAAUCUGUAGCGAAGCCCUAGGGUUCGCAAAUAACUCACCUUUCAAUCCCAAAGUGGGGAGGGAGCUCCAAGUGCACCCAAGCCCGGGACCGUCUGCGGACCUCCAUGUGGUCCGGACCUCCAAGUGGUCCUAGUCGCGCGACACUCCGGAGUACUCGACGACAAUCCCCUCCAUGUGGGGAUUGGAUGGCUAUACCAUCCCAAACGCAGACUGUGAGCUAGAUCUAUCCUCUCCAAGUGAGGAUACACUAUCACUAGAGUCAACAACCCAAUCCAAUCCUCUCCAAGUGAGGAUGCACUAUGUCUAGGGAUCACAACCCAAUCAAAUCCUCUCCAAGUAAGGAUGCUCUAUAACUAGAGUCAACAUCUCUUGCGGGAUCAUUUGUUCCCGGCAUUCAUGCAAUGCUAUUUAGCUUGUCUAAAUUCAUUGUUCACAAGGCAUUUUCUAAGGGAUCCACCUAUCCCUAGGUUCUCAAACCUCUAGUGUCAUAUACACUACAUUAAUGCCACUCAUCAUCAUUCAAUGUUUGGAUGCCACUCGUUUGUUCUUUAACAUUAACAACACUUUCUAUGUCAUCAACACCCCCAUCGGGUUCAUCUCUAUCUUUCGCAUCAUAGGAUCCACGUUCCGACCCAAUCCUCAUUUAUCUAGGUUACCGAGCGUUCCAAGUACAGUAGGUUAUCAUUUAGAAAGUAUAAGGAAGGGAGGUACUAUGCAAUCCUACAAUGCAACAUGAAGAGAUGAGAUUAAAUGCAAUUCUAAGACAUAGAAAGGAGUCCGAAAGCUUCGGGAUGGCACCCCUUACCUUUAAUCGAUGUAGAGCCUUGGGAUAUUCUUCUCGGCGAACUUUACGAAAAGGCUUUAGCCUUCCUUGCCCAAAUCAAUGCUAGCCCAGCCCUAUUUUGCCGAGAACUUCACGCCGGUUCGCCGAAUGCCAAAACCGACUUCGCCCCCACGUUUUGUGACCUAACAAUAGGGUUUCCAAGGCUUCAAAUGAGAUCAAUCUCAUAUAUUCACAAAAGCCCCAUUUGGAGCCCUAGAUUUGCACCUAUAGCAAACCACCAAUAAAUCCCUAGAUUUCUUGGGAUUGAUCUAUUUAGAAGCUCAUUUAGGGUCCAUUUGACCUAUUCCAAAGCAUAAAAACCCAAAACUCCAAAGUUUAGAAGCUAGGGCUCAAGAGCCUACCUCUUGUGCUACACCAAAGAGAAGAGGAGAGGGAGAUGGAGAUGCUCAAAGCCUUCCUCUUGAUCUCCUUCUUCUUCUCCUUCCUUAUCUUCCUCUUCUUUUCCUUCAUCUCCUUCUUGUUCUUCUUCUUCUCCUUUCUUUUCUAGAGAGAGAGAGAGCAAUGAGAGUGAGAGAGAGUGAAAUGAGAUGAGUGUGAGGGAGAGAGAGGGCUCAGCCCACUCAAAUAAAAGCCAUUUUGCAUAAAAACCCCUCAACUUUCACUCCUGUGCACUGCCCUCACUGGGCAGUUUUCGCCCAGAGGGACCGAUCUCCCGGACUUUGGACCGAUCCCCGAGGGUUUCCCCUCGGGCGCACGCGUUCGGGAACCGGUCUCUCCCCGGGAGACUGGUCCUCGGGAGACCGGUCCUCGCCUGAAAGACCGGUCCCCGAGAGCUCGAUUUUCAUGACUUAGCCAAAUUUUGGCAUUUCUCGCUGGGACCACGUUCGAGAACCGGUCCCUCCCUGCCAGGGACCGGUUGCAUCAAGCAACCCCGCUACACCCAGCCAAGGGAACCGGUCUCUCACCUCCAGGGACCGGUCCCCGAGAGCAACAUCAGCCCAACGAUGCUGUUUGCAUCAUUCGCUCUCGUGGACUCAACUCCAAAUCACUUUUUGUAUUU